Molecule: ribosomal RNA, 465 nt
Filed under: uncultured marine eukaryote
Lineage: Eukaryota
Description: SSU rRNA
Rfam family: Eukaryotic small subunit ribosomal RNA
Source: RNAcentral
AACCUGGUUGAUCCUGCCAGUAGUCAUAUGCUUGUCUCAAAGACUAAGCCAUGCAUGUCUAAGUAUAAGUAUUAUACAGCGAAACUGCGAAUGGCUCAUUAAAACAGUUAUAAUUUAUUUGAUAAUCGAAUUUACAUGGAUAACCGUGGUAAUUCUAGAGCUAAUACAUGCUGGUAGGCCCGACUUUUUGGAAGGGCGGUAUUUAUUAGAUAACAAACCAAUAUUCCUCUGGUCUAUUGUGGUGAAUCAUAAUAACUGAUCGAAUCGCAAGGUUUUUAACCGCGAUAAGUCAUUCAAGUUUCUGCCCCAUCAGCUUUCGAUGGUAGUGUAUUGGACUACCAUGGCUUUUACGGGUAACGGAGGAUAAGGGUUCGAUUCCGGAGAGGGAGCCUGAGAAACGGCUACCACAUCUAAGGAAGGCAGCAGGCGCGUAAAUUACCCAAUCCUGACUCAGGGAGGUAGUGA